This 1489-nucleotide ribosomal RNA is filed under the name Rathayibacter iranicus. RNAcentral's name for it is "bacterial SSU rRNA". It matches the Rfam family "Bacterial small subunit ribosomal RNA". The record is from RNAcentral. Lineage: Bacteria; Bacillati; Actinomycetota; Actinomycetes; Micrococcales; Microbacteriaceae. RNAcentral also lists the same sequence under 1 other name.
UAGAGUUUGAUCCUGGCUCAGGACGAACGCUGGCGGCGUGCUUAACACAUGCAAGUCGAACGAUGAAGCCUGGCUUGCUGGGUGGAUUAGUGGCGAACGGGUGAGUAACACGUGAGUAACCUGCCCUUGACUCUGGGAUAAGCGCUGGAAACGGCGUCUAAUACCGGAUACGACCUGCCCCGGCAUCGGGUGUGGGUGGAAAGUUUUUCGGUCAAGGAUGGACUCGCGGCCUAUCAGCUUGUUGGUGAGGUAAUGGCUUACCAAGGCGACGACGGGUAGCCGGCCUGAGAGGGUGACCGGCCACACUGGGACUGAGACACGGCCCAGACUCCUACGGGAGGCAGCAGUGGGGAAUAUUGCACAAUGGGCGAAAGCCUGAUGCAGCAACGCCGCGUGGGGGAUGACGGCCUUCGGGUUGUAAACCUCUUUUAGUAGGGAAGAAGGGCUUCGGCUUGACGGUACCUGCAGAAAAAGCACCGGCUAACUACGUGCCAGCAGCCGCGGUAAUACGUAGGGUGCAAGCGUUGUCCGGAAUUAUUGGGCGUAAAGAGCUCGUAGGCGGUUUGUCGCGUCUGCUGUGAAAACCCGAGGCUCAACCUCGGGCCUGCAGUGGGUACGGGCAGACUAGAGUGCGGUAGGGGAGAAUGGAAUUCCUGGUGUAGCGGUGGAAUGCGCAGAUAUCAGGAGGAACACCGAUGGCGAAGGCAGUUCUCUGGGCCGUUACUGACGCUGAGGAGCGAAAGCGUGGGGAGCGAACAGGAUUAGAUACCCUGGUAGUCCACGCCGUAAACGUUGGGAACUAGAUGUGGGGGCCUUUCCACGGUCUCCGUGUCGCAGCUAACGCAUUAAGUUCCCCGCCUGGGGAGUACGGCCGCAAGGCUAAAACUCAAAGGAAUUGACGGGGGCCCGCACAAGCGGCGGAGCAUGCGGAUUAAUUCGAUGCAACGCGAAGAACCUUACCAAGGCUUGACAUAUACCGGAAACUUCCAGAGAUGGUUGCCCCGCAAGGUCGGUAUACAGGUGGUGCAUGGUUGUCGUCAGCUCGUGUCGUGAGAUGUUGGGUUAAGUCCCGCAACGAGCGCAACCCUCGUUCUAUGUUGCCAGCACGUGAUGGUGGGAACUCAUAGGAGACUGCCGGGGUCAACUCGGAGGAAGGUGGGGAUGACGUCAAAUCAUCAUGCCCCUUAUGUCUUGGGCUUCACGCAUGCUACAAUGGCCGGUACAAAGGGCUGCGAUACCGUAAGGUGGAGCGAAUCCCAAAAAGCCGGUCUCAGUUCGGAUUGAGGUCUGCAACUCGACCUCAUGAAGUCGGAGUCGCUAGUAAUCGCAGAUCAGCAACGCUGCGGUGAAUACGUUCCCGGGCCUUGUACACACCGCCCGUCAAGUCAUGAAAGUCGGUAACACCCGAAGCCAGUGGCCUAACCGUAAGGAGGGAGCUGUCGAAGGUGGGAUCGGUGAUUAGGACUAAGUCGUAACAAGGUAGCCGUAC